RNAcentral lists this small RNA (117 nucleotides) under Bacillus gobiensis. Its description in RNAcentral is "RNA Staph. aureus E (RoxS)". It matches the Rfam family "RNA Staph. aureus E (RoxS)". Rfam says of the family: It was shown to be regulated by the presence of nitric oxide (NO). Lineage: Bacteria; Bacillati; Bacillota; Bacilli; Caryophanales; Bacillaceae. The record is from Rfam by way of RNAcentral.
GUGAAAUUGAUCACAUACAAACAUUUACCCCUUUGUUUGACCGUGAAUAAUUUCUCCCAUCCCCUUUGUUGUCGUUAAGACAUAAAAGAACCGCGCUUAUCCCGGCGCGGUUUCUUU